UACGGAGGGUGCAAGCGUUAUCCGGAUUCACUGGGUUUAAAGGGUGCGUAGGUGGGUUGGUAAGUCAGUGGUGAAAUCUCCGAGCUUAACUUGGAAACUGCCAUUGAUACUAUCAGUCUUGAAUACCGUGGAGAUGAGCGGAAUAUGUCAUGUAGCGGUGAAAUGCUUAGAUACGACAUAGAACACCAAUUGCGAAGGCAGCUCGUUACACGAAUAUUGACACUCAGGCACGAAAGCGUGGGGAUCAAACAGG
Molecule: ribosomal RNA, 253 nt
Filed under: uncultured bacterium
Lineage: Bacteria
Description: partial 16S ribosomal RNA
Rfam family: Bacterial small subunit ribosomal RNA
Source: RNAcentral